This 253-nucleotide unclassified non-coding RNA is filed under the name uncultured Parcubacteria group bacterium. Its description in RNAcentral is "contains 16S-23S intergenic spacer region". It matches the Rfam family "Bacterial small subunit ribosomal RNA", at positions 524 to 776 of the family's 1533-position model. The record is from RNAcentral.
UACAGAGGCCCCGAGCGUUACCCGGAAUUACUGGGCGUAAAGCGUAUGUAGGUGGUCAUAUUAGUCGCCUGUUAAAAACCGGAGCUCAACUCCGGAUGUGCGGGCGAAACGGUAUGACUGGAGGGUGUGAGAGGUGAAUGGAACUCAUGGUGUAGGGGUGAAAUCCGUUGAUAUCAUGGGGAACACCGAAAGCGAAGGCAAUUCACUGGCGCAUUCCUGACACUCAAAUACGAAAGCGUGGGUAGCGAACGGG